Molecule: transfer-messenger RNA, 403 nt
Filed under: Vicingus serpentipes
Lineage: Bacteria; Pseudomonadati; Bacteroidota; Flavobacteriia; Flavobacteriales; Vicingaceae
Description: Standard tmRNA
Rfam family: transfer-messenger RNA
About the family: Bacterial tmRNA, also known as 10Sa RNA or SsrA, is named for its dual tRNA and mRNA-like properties. Its role is to liberate the mRNA from a stalled ribosome. To accomplish this part of the tmRNA is used as a reading frame that ends in a translation stop signal.
Source: Rfam by way of RNAcentral
GGGGUCGUUUUUGGUUUUGACUGCAAGAUGAAGUGGUAAGCAAGCAUGUCGAGCGUUGUGAAUUUGCUCGUAAAUCUCGGUUCUCAAAUCGCUAACUGGCGAAAAUAACUAUGCAAUGGCUGCAUAAUCACGACUAAGUCGGAUUAUCUUAAUACUUACUCUUAGAGGGUAAGCACCAUUAAUCUCUCAACAGUUCUGUUCAUUAAUUGUUGUACUCGAGGUUUCAAAAUUUUGAACUAGCUAAGUAAAAUGCUUCGAUUUACUGGCGAAACACAAGAAGCUUAAGCUUAUGGUUGGAUGCUUUUAACCUGCAAUAAGCCUAACAAUUAAUUAAAAGCUAAGCAUGUAGAAACCUUAUUAGUUCCUUGUUUGGACGAGGGUUCGAAUCCCUCCGACUCCACAA